Small nuclear RNA from Solanum stenotomum, 194 nucleotides. RefSeq annotates it as U2 spliceosomal RNA. The record is from RefSeq and is a predicted model, not a curated record. The transcript has a single exon. NCBI's taxonomy places the organism in Eukaryota, Viridiplantae, Streptophyta, Magnoliopsida, Solanales, Solanaceae.
AUACCUUUCUCGGCCUUUUGGCUAAGAUCAAGUGUAGUAUCUGUUCUUAUCAGUUUAAUAUCUGAUAUGUGAGUCAUCGACUCACNAGCUUAGAAAGACAUUUCGUCUCCUCAGUAAUAGUAACAAUAAAUUCAUAAUUUUCUAUGGCAGUAAUGAGAAUUUUUUCCACAACUUGUUGGUCAGAAAUAUCAUCA